UGUAAGGAAGUGAAUUCUCGAAAUCCGAGAGUUGUACUUCAUCCAGGAUCGACUAAUUGUCGAGAGAAUACCCUUUGGGGAAGUUAAAGAUGUCCAAAGCACAAAAGGUGCAUUGGAAUUGAGUCCAUGAGAGCGCAUAGUGCAAACAGCAUUAUUGGGCUGAUGUUACUCUCGGGGACCGGUCUCUGGAGGUAAGAGACCGGUUCCAUCAGCUGGGCGUGCGGGGUUGCAUGGUGCAACCGGUCCCUGGCAAGGAGGGACCGGUUCCCGAACGUGGUUCCAGCGAGAAAUGCCGAAAUUUGGCUAAGUCCUGAAAGUCGAGCUCUCGGGGACCGGUCUCUCAGGCGGGGACCGGUCUCCCGAGGACCGGUCUCCCGGGGAGAGACCGGUUCCCAAACGCGUGCGCUCGAGGGAAGCUCUCGGGGACCGGUCCCAAGUCGGGGAGACCGGUCCCUCCGCGCGGAAACUGCCUAGUGAGGGCUGUGCAAGGGGUUAAAAGUUGAGGGACCUAAAUGCAAAAUGGCCUUUAUUAGAGUGGGCUGAGCCCUCUCUCUCCCUCACACUCUCUCAUUCCACUCUCCCUCACUCUCAUUUCUCUCUUGCUCCCUCUCUCUCUCUAGAAAGGAAAGAAGGAGAAGAAGAACAAGAAGGAGAGGAAGGAAAAGAAGAGGAAGAUAAGGAAGGAGAAGAAGAAGGAGAUCAAGAGGAAGGCUUUGAGCACCUCCAUCUCCCUCUCCUCUUCCCAUUGGUGUAGCUCUUGAGGUAAGCUACUAAACCCUAGCUUUGUAAACUUAGGGCUUUGGGUUUUUAUGCUUUGGAAUGGGUCAAAUGGACCCUAAGCAUGCUUCUAAAUAGAUCAAUCCCAAGAAUCUAGGGUUUUAUUGGUGGUUUGCUAUAUGUGCAAACCUAGGGCUCCAAAUGGGGGCAUUUUGUAAAGUAUGAGAUUGAUCUCAUUUGAGGCCUUGUAAACCUCAUCGAUAGGUGCCCANN
RNAcentral lists this long non-coding RNA (990 nucleotides) under Ananas comosus (pineapple). RNAcentral's name for it is "long non-coding RNA (ACOM_LNC040732)". Lineage: Eukaryota; Viridiplantae; Streptophyta; Magnoliopsida; Poales; Bromeliaceae. The record is from RNAcentral.